RNAcentral lists this ribosomal RNA (116 nucleotides) under Listeria monocytogenes serotype 4b str. H7858. Lineage: Bacteria; Bacillati; Bacillota; Bacilli; Caryophanales; Listeriaceae. The record is from RNAcentral.
AGGGUAACCUUUAUGGAGCCAGCCGCCGAAGGUGGGACAGAUAAUUGGGGUGAAGUCGUAACAAGGUAGCCGUAUCGGAAGGUGCGGCUGGAUCACCUCCUUUCUAAGGAAAAGGA